GACGAACGCUGGCGGCGUGCUUAACACAUGCAAGUCGAACGGAAAGGCCCUGCUUUUGUGGGGUGCUCGAGUGGCGAACGGGUGAGUAACACGUGAGUAACCUGCCCUUGACUUUGGGAUAACUUCAGGAAACUGGGGCUAAUACCGGAUAGGAGCUCCUGCUGCAUGGUGGGGGUUGGAAAGUUUCGGCGGUUGGGGAUGGACUCGCGGCUUAUCAGCUUGUUGGUGGGGUAGUGGCUUACCAAGGCUUUGACGGGUAGCCGGCCUGAGAGGGUGACCGGCCACAUUGGGACUGAGAGACGGCCCAGACUCCUACGGGAGGCAGCAGUGGGGAAUAUUGCACAAUGGGCGGAAGCCUGAUGCAGCAACGCCGCGUGCGGGAUGACGGCCUUCGGGUGGUAAACCGCUUUCGCCUGUGACGAAGCGUGAGUGACGGUAAUGGGGAAAGAAGCACCGGCUAACUACGU
Molecule: ribosomal RNA, 467 nt
Filed under: uncultured bacterium
Lineage: Bacteria
Description: partial 16S ribosomal RNA
Rfam family: Bacterial small subunit ribosomal RNA
Source: RNAcentral